Oryza nivara is the source of this 207-nucleotide non-coding RNA. The record is from Rfam. Lineage: Eukaryota; Viridiplantae; Streptophyta; Magnoliopsida; Poales; Poaceae.
AAAAAGACAAACCGCGGGUUUACGUGCCAAUGUUUGACUGUCCGUCUUAUAUGAAAUUUUUUUUAUAAUUAGUAUAUUUUCAUUGUUAUUAGAUGAUAAAACAUGAUGAAUGCUUUAUGUGUGACUUAUCUUUUUAAUUUUUUUUAUAAUUUUUUUAAAUAAAACGGACGGUCAAAUAUUGGACACGAAAACCAGGUUCGUCUUUUU